This 253-nucleotide ribosomal RNA is filed under the name uncultured bacterium. RNAcentral's name for it is "partial 16S ribosomal RNA". It matches the Rfam family "Bacterial small subunit ribosomal RNA", at positions 524 to 776 of the family's 1533-position model. The record is from RNAcentral.
UACGAAGGGUGCAAGCGUUACUCGGAAUUACUGGGCGUAAAGCGUGCGUAGGUGGUUCGUUAAGUCUGAUGUGAAAGCCCUGGGCUCAACCUGGGAAUGGCAUUGGAUACUGGCGACCUAGAGUGCGGUAGAGGGGUGUGGAAUUCCCGGUGUAGCGGUGAAAUGCGUAGAUAUCUGGAGGAACACCGGUGGCGAAGGCGGCAUCCUGGACCGGUAUUGACGCUGAGGCGCGAAAGCCAGGGGAGCAAACGGG